This 483-nucleotide ribosomal RNA is filed under the name uncultured bacterium. RNAcentral describes it as "partial 16S ribosomal RNA". It matches the Rfam family "Bacterial small subunit ribosomal RNA", at positions 28 to 507 of the family's 1533-position model. The record is from RNAcentral.
GACGAACGCUGGCGGCGUGCUUAACACAUGCAAGUCGAACGCUGAAGCUCAGCUUUUGUUGGGUGGAUGAGUGGCGAACGGGUGAGUAACACGUGAGUAACCUGCCUCCUUCUUUGGGAUAACGCCCGGAAACGGGUGCUAAUACUGGAUAUUCACUGGUCUUCGCAUGGGGGUUGGUGGAAAGGGUUUUUCUGGUGGGGGAUGGGCUCGCGGCCUAUCAGCUUGUUGGUGGGGUGAUGGCCUACCAAGGCUUUGACGGGUAGCCGGCCUGAGAGGGUGACCGGUCACAUUGAGACUGAGAUACGGCCCAGACUCCUACGGGAGGCAGCAGUGGGGAAUAAUGCACAAUGGGCGCAAGCCUGAUGCAGCGACGCCGCGUGAGGGAUGGAGGCCUUCGGGUUGUGAACCUCUUUCGCACAUGGUCAAGCCGCAACAAUGGUUGUGGUGAGGGUAGUGGGUAAAGAAGCGCCGGCUAACUACGUG